Molecule: non-coding RNA, 419 nt
Organism: Arvicanthis niloticus (Nile rat)
Lineage: Eukaryota; Metazoa; Chordata; Mammalia; Rodentia; Muridae
Source: RefSeq, a predicted model, not a curated record
UUAUUGAGGUUGAUCAAUUUUCAAAAUGUUUUAAAGGUACUAUUUCAAGAACGAUUGGUAUAAAGCUGUGAUUUGAACCCCAGAUUUCAGAGCAUUGUCCAUAGUAUAAUCCUGGGCGAUUAGAUGAUAGUGUAGCUUGGUUUAGGCGGCCAGGGAUUGCAUCGGUUUUUAAUCCUAGUGAGGGAACGGCUCACGAGUGUAGUACAUCUUCGGAUGAGAUUAAUAUAUGAAUUGGAAGUUCUAUUGGUAGAAUGACUCGGUUGUCAACUUCUAGCAGUCGUAGUUCACCUGGUUUUAAGUCAUUUGUUGGAAUUAUGUAUGAGUUGAAGCAUAAGUCUUCGUAGUCUGUGUAUUCAUAGCUUCAGUAUCAUUGAUGUCCUAUAGUUUUUAUGGUUAAGACAGGGUAGAUACGGAAGAGC